GCAGAGGUUGCUGGCCUAGAGCUUUUAUGGCCUGUGCCUGGGUCUCCUGCUCAGGUGAAAACUGUAAUUCCACUCAGCUGCCUUAUAUGAGUGAGGCUUCAAUCAACACUUCUUAUGACUACAAAAAGUAUGCCAGGCCCACUGAGGACAAGAACUGUGUGUUAUUCACCUGAGUGCCCCCAGCAAGGACUCCACACAAAAGAUGCUCAAUAACUAGUUACUAAAAUCAAUUGCUGCAACUGAACAUCCCCUAAACAUUGCCCUAACACUCAUAGAUACAUGCAGUGUCUUGCUCAUUAAAGGCAAACCACAAGUAUUUACAGAAUUUAUUUGAUACUAGGUUCUCCUAAGUUGGGGCUACCAUACAACGUUGCACAGAAUGUACACUGCAAAGAGAUACCACAUUGAGAAGGUUGUCUUCCACAUUGCAGCCAUCAAAGGCUUAAGUAUAAAAGUGAAAACCACAUAGCUCUUAGAAGAAAACAGAGAUGUAAAUAUGACCUAGGAUUAAGCAACAAUUUCUUAGAUAUUCCACUGAAAGCACAAGAAACAAAAGAAAAAAUAAAAUCGGGCUUACUCAAUAUUUAAAAACUUUUGUGAUUCAAAGGACACCAUUAGAAAAUGAAAAGACAACCCACAGAAAGAAAGAAAAUUUGUGAAAAUCAUAUAUCUGAUAAGAGACAUAUCUACAAUAUGUUUUUAAAAAAAUCUUCUAGACCUCAAUAGUAAGAAGACAAAUAACCCAAUUUUUUAAAUGGGCAAACUGUCUGAAUAGAUGUUUCUCCAAAGAAGAUACGCAGAUGUUCAAUACACACAGGAAGAUGACUAACAUGAUUAGUCACUGGAGAAAUGAAAUUAAAACCACAAUGAGAUUCCACUUCACACCCACUAGUAUGGCUAGAAUCAAAAAGACAGUUAAAUAUUGGUGAGGAUGUGGAAAAAUUGGGCCCCUCAUACACUGCAGUACCGCUGCUCUGUGAAACAAUCUGGCAACUCCCCAACAGGUUAAAUAUAGAGUUACAUAUAACCCAUCAAUCUCACUCC
RNAcentral lists this long non-coding RNA (1044 nucleotides) under Papio anubis (olive baboon). RNAcentral's name for it is "lncRNA (ENSPANG00000048555.1)". The record is from RNAcentral. Lineage: Eukaryota; Metazoa; Chordata; Mammalia; Primates; Cercopithecidae.